RNAcentral lists this ribosomal RNA (496 nucleotides) under uncultured bacterium. RNAcentral describes it as "partial 16S ribosomal RNA". It matches the Rfam family "Bacterial small subunit ribosomal RNA", at positions 28 to 506 of the family's 1533-position model. The record is from RNAcentral.
GACGAACGCUGGCGGCGUGCCUAAUACAUGCAAGUUGAGCGCUGAAGGUUGGUACUUGUCCCAACUGGAUGAGCAGCGAACGGGUGAGUAACGCGUGGGGAAUCUGCCUUUGAGCGGGGGACAACAUUUGGAAACGAAUGCUAAUACCGCAUAAAAACUUUAAACACAAGUUUUAAGUUUGAAAGAUGCAAUUGCAUCACUCAAAGAUGAUCCCGCGUUGUAUUAGCUAGUUGGUGAGGUAAAGGCUCACCAAGGCGAUGAUACAUAGCCGACCUGAGAGGGGGAGCGGCCACAUGGGGACUGAGACACGGCCAAAACGCCUACGGGAGGCAGCAGUAGGGAAUCUUCGGCAAUGGACGAAAGUCUGACCGAGUAACGCGGCGGGAGUGAAGAAGGUUUUCGGAUCGUAAAACACUGUUGGUAGAGAAGAACGUUGGUGAGAGUGGAAAGCUCAUCAAGUGACGGUAACUACCCAGAAAGGAACGGCUAACUACGU